This 253-nucleotide ribosomal RNA is filed under the name uncultured bacterium. RNAcentral describes it as "partial 16S ribosomal RNA". It matches the Rfam family "Bacterial small subunit ribosomal RNA", at positions 524 to 776 of the family's 1533-position model. The record is from RNAcentral.
UACGGAGGGGGCUAGCGUUGUUCGGAAUUACUGGGCGUAAAGCGCACGUAGGCGGCUUUGCAAGUUAGAGGUGAAAGCCCAGGGCUCAACCCUGGAAUUGCCUUUAAAACUGCAUCGCUAGAAUUGUGGAGAGGUAAGUGGAAUUCCGAGUGUAGAGGUGAAAUUCGUAGAUAUUCGGAAGAACACCAGUGGCGAAGGCGACUUACUGGACACAUAUUGACGCUGAGGUGCGAAAGCGUGGGGAGCAAACGGG